RNAcentral lists this non-coding RNA (23 nucleotides) under Cricetulus griseus (Chinese hamster). The record is from RNAcentral. Lineage: Eukaryota; Metazoa; Chordata; Mammalia; Rodentia; Cricetidae.
CAGCCGCCAAUGGGGUAACUUUU